UACCAGCUCUCCGAGUGGUAGGGAUGAUUAUUGGGCUUAAAGCGUCCGUAGCCGGCUUAGCAAGUCUCCUGUUAAAUUCAGCGACCUAAUCGUUGAGCCGCGGGAGAUACUACUGGGCUAGGAGGCGGGAGAGGUCGACGGUACUUCCGGGGUAGGGGUGAAAUCCUAUAAUCCCGGGAGGACCACCAGUGGCGAAGGCUGUCGACUAGAACGCGCUCGACGGUGAGGGACGAAAGCUGGGGGGAGCGAACCGGAUUAGAUACCCGGGUAGUCCCAGCUGUAAACGAUGCGGGCUAGGUGUUGGGGUGGCUACGUGCCACUUCAGUGCCGCAGGGAAGCCAUUAAGCCCGCCGCCUGGGGAGUACGGCCGCAAGGCUGAAACUUAAAGGAAUUGGCGGGGGAGCACCACAAGGCGUGAAGCUUGCGGUUC
Molecule: ribosomal RNA, 430 nt
Filed under: uncultured archaeon
Lineage: Archaea
Description: bacterial SSU rRNA
Rfam family: Archaeal small subunit ribosomal RNA
Source: RNAcentral